CGGCGCGCCUAACACAUGCAAGUCGAACGAGUGGCGUUCCUUCGGGAACAAAGCUAGUGGCGGACGGGUGAGUAACACGUGAGGAACCUGCCUUUCAGAGUGGGAUACCGUUUGGAAACGAACGUUAAUACCGCAUAAUGUAUUUAUGUCGCAUGGCAUUAAUACCAAAGAUUUAUCGCCGAGAGAUGGCCUCGCGUCUGAUUAGAUAGUUGGUGAGGUAACGGCCCACCAAGUCUGCGAUCAGUAGCCGGACUGAGAGGUUGAUCGGCCACAUUGGGACUGAGAUACGGCCCAGACUCCUACGGGAGGCAGCAGUCGGGAAUAUUGGGCAAUGGGGGAAACCCUGACCCAGCAACGCCGCGUGAAGGAAGAAGGCCCUCGGGUUGUAAACUUCUUUUAGCAGGGACGAAGAACGUGACGGUACCUGCAGAAAAAGCAACGGCUAACUACGUG
This 453-nucleotide ribosomal RNA is filed under the name uncultured bacterium. RNAcentral describes it as "bacterial SSU rRNA". It matches the Rfam family "Bacterial small subunit ribosomal RNA", at positions 40 to 507 of the family's 1533-position model. The record is from RNAcentral.